Molecule: ribosomal RNA, 253 nt
Filed under: uncultured bacterium
Lineage: Bacteria
Description: partial 16S ribosomal RNA
Rfam family: Bacterial small subunit ribosomal RNA
Source: RNAcentral
UACGUAGGUGGCAAGCGAUACUCGGAAUCACUAGGCGUAAAGCGCAGGUAGGCGGUUUGGUAAGUCUGUUGUGAAAGCUCCCGGCUUAACUGGGAGAGGUCAACGGAAACUACCAGGCUAGAGUGCGGUAGAGGUAGCUGGAAUUCCCGGUGUAGCAGUGAAAUGCGUAGAUAUCGGGAGGAACACCGGUGGCGAAGGCGGUUCUCUGGGCCUUACCUGACGCUGAGGAGCGAAAGCAUGGGGAGCGAACAGG